RNAcentral lists this unclassified non-coding RNA (285 nucleotides) under uncultured fungus. Its description in RNAcentral is "partial contains 5.8S rRNA, ITS2 and 28S rRNA". It matches the Rfam family "Eukaryotic large subunit ribosomal RNA", at positions 668 to 959 of the family's 3401-position model. The record is from RNAcentral. Lineage: Eukaryota; Fungi.
AAGGAGUCGUCUUCGUAUGCGAGUGUUCGGGUGUCAAACCCCUACGCGUAAUGAAAGUGAACGUAGGUGAGAGCUUCGGCGCAUCACCGACCGAUCCUGAUGUUCUCGGAUGGAUUUGAGUAAGAGCAUACGGGGCCGGACCCGAAAGAAGGUGAACUAUGCCUGUAUAGGGUGAAGCCAGAGGAAACUCUGGUGGAGGCUCGCAGCGGUUCUGACGUGCAAAUCGAUCGUCAAAUAUGGUCAUAGGGGCGAAAGACUAAUCGAACCUUCUAGUUGCUGGUUUCC